This 824-nucleotide ribosomal RNA is filed under the name Memnoniella humicola. RNAcentral's name for it is "eukaryotic LSU rRNA". It matches the Rfam family "Eukaryotic large subunit ribosomal RNA", at positions 74 to 935 of the family's 3401-position model. Lineage: Eukaryota; Fungi; Ascomycota; Sordariomycetes; Hypocreales; Stachybotryaceae. The record is from RNAcentral.
AUUGCCUCAGUAACGGCGAGUGAAGCGGCAACAGCUCAAAUUUGAAAUCUGGCCCCAGGCCCGAGUUGUAAUUUGCAGAGGAUGCUUUUGGCGCGGUGCCUUCCGAGUUCCCUGGAACGGGACGCCAUAGAGGGUGAGAGCCCCGUCUGGUCGGACACCAAGCCUCUGUAAAGCUCCUUCGACGAGUCGAGUAGUUUGGGAAUGCUGCUCUAAAUGGGAGGUAUAUGUCUUCUAAAGCUAAAUACCGGCCAGAGACCGAUAGCGCACAAGUAGAGUGAUCGAAAGAUGAAAAGCACUUUGAAAAGAGAGUUAAAUAGCACGUGAAAUUGUUAAAAGGGAAGCGUUUAUGACCAGACUUGGGCCGGUUAAUCAUCCAGCGUUCUCGCUGGUGCACUUUGCCGGUCCAGGCCAGCAUCAGUUCGUGGCGGGGGAUAAAGGCGUCGGGAAUGUGGCUCCUCGGAGUGUUAUAGCCCUUCGCGCAAUACCCUGCCGUGGACUGAGGUUCGCGCUCUGCAAGGAUGCUGGCGUAAUGGUCAUCAACGACCCGUCUUGAAACACGGACCAAGGAGUCGUCUUCGUAUGCGAGUGUUCGGGUGUCAAACCCCUACGCGUAAUGAAAGUGAACGCAGGUGAGAGCUUCGGCGCAUCAUCGACCGAUCCUGAUGUUCUCGGAUGGAUUUGAGUAAGAGCAUACGGGGCCGGACCCGAAAGAAGGUGAACUAUGCCUGUAUAGGGUGAAGCCAGAGGAAACUCUGGUGGAGGCUCGCAGCGGUUCUGACGUGCAAAUCGAUCGUCAAAUAUGGGCAUGGGGGCGAAAGACUAAU